RNAcentral lists this ribosomal RNA (443 nucleotides) under uncultured bacterium. RNAcentral's name for it is "partial 16S ribosomal RNA". It matches the Rfam family "Bacterial small subunit ribosomal RNA", at positions 28 to 507 of the family's 1533-position model. The record is from RNAcentral.
GAUGAACGCUGGCGGCAUGCCUAACACAUGCAAGUCGAUCGGUAAGGCUCUUCGGAGUACCCGAGAGGCGGACGGCUGAGUAACGCGUAGGAACACACCCUGCAGUGAGGGAUAAGACACCGAAAGGUGUUCUAAUACCGCAUACGGUCUUCGGAUUAAAGCAUUUAUGCGCUGAAGGAGUGGCCUGCGUCAUAUUAGAUAGUUGGUGAGGUAAUGGCUCACCAAGUCGAUGAUGUGUAGCUGGUCUGAGAGGAUGAUCAGCCAGACUGGAACUGAGACACGGUCGAGACUCCUACGGGAGGCAGCAGUGAGGAAUAUUUCACAAUGAGCGAAAGCUUGAUGGAGCAAUGCCGCGUGCAGGAUGAAGGCCCUCGGGUUGUAAACUGCUUUUAUAAGAGAAGAUUAUGACGGUAACUUAUGAAUAAGGGACGGCUAACUACGUG